Molecule: long non-coding RNA, 1313 nt
Organism: Ornithorhynchus anatinus (platypus)
Lineage: Eukaryota; Metazoa; Chordata; Mammalia; Monotremata; Ornithorhynchidae
Exons: 2
Source: RefSeq, a predicted model, not a curated record
GUGGUUACACACAACCCUUGAACAGCAGCCUCGAGUUGUAGCAGCAAUAAGCCCCCGGUCCCAAGCGAGAGCAAGAAGACAGCCUGGAAACAGAAGUCUAGGAGAACAUCAGUGUCUAUCUCAGGGUUUCUCUCUCAGGUUACUGUCUGAAGGAGAACAUCAUACGAGUUCCACUACCAGAUGAAAAUGUAAACAUCAAAACUCAAAAGCUCUGCAUGAUUUAGGAUUUAAAUAUACUGAGAGGAAAAUAGAAAAGUAUGAGAUGGCUUAUGAUAAAAUCUCAAGUAAAAUGAAAAAAAAAAACCCAGAGAAAGCAGUAGAAGAGACAGACCUGAGUUUCUUCUUCGUGGUGACUCCACUUCUUCUGUGAUCACAUCGUGUAAUGGAAAGACAUAGACAAAGGAGAUGGGCGUGAGCGGAUGUACUCAGAAGUUAAAACUGACACAGAGGGAAAGGACCAAUUAUUGUUUUGAGAGAGAAGCUUGUAGCACACUAUUAUGGGAAAGAAAUAACACAGCACACACCAAAAAAGGAAACGAAAAAAAAAACCUAAUGAAGAGUUUGUUAAACUACUGUAGGUGAAAAGAACCAGAAAGACAGAGUUAGUGUAGGAAUUGAAGAAAUAACACAAUUUUACAAUAAAUUCUGAGUAGCAAGUCCAGACAUUUGGGGAAGAAGGAAAGGUUUAGUUCAGUGCAAGGUGAAUGGUAACCACUUCACUAUCACUCUUAACCUUGAAUUUGUUUUGCAAAAUGGAUACUCUAUUUACAAAUGAAAAGAAAUGCAUUAGAAAAUGUAGGUAUUAUUUCACCCAAUCAAUACAGUGGAUCUAUGUCCCAAUAGUACUUAUGAAUUUACAUUUUUCACAAAAAAGCCAAUUUAUAAACACAUGCCAUUUAUCAUAGACAGUUUAGCAAGUAACUUUCAAAUCACCAUAUUUAACCCUGCAAAGUCAUAUUUCAUGAUUUCAAGAAAACAAAUUCACAUUAGAAAAAAACAUCUCACAGAUAAUGUGCAUUAAAAUAUUAAAUUAUAAACCCAAACUCUGACACUGUAGGUUUCUUGGAGAACUUUUUAAAAAACUUUUUCUUAAGCAGAGGAGACUUUGGAAGCAUAAUAAAAAUGGUCUAAAACCACACAAAACCCUGCCAGUCUUAGCUUCUCUCUUCCAAAAGAUAAGAAAGUUGGCACUGAAAAUUUUGGCACAGGUGAAAAGUAUCAAAACAACAACCUUACAAUUCCUUCCAUUUUCAUUUCCCAAUCAUCCCAAGCAUUUCCAAAAAAAAUAUAAAUUAAACAGUUAUUGGAUUCAA